CCUACGGGCGGCAGCAGUGAGGAAUAUUGGUCAAUGGACGAGAGUCUGAACCAGUCAAGUAGCGUGAAGGAUGACUGCCCUAUGGGUUGUAAACUUCUUUUAUAUGGGAAUAAAAUGUUCCACGUGUGGGAUUUUGUAUGUACCAUAUGAAUAAGGAUCGGCUAACUCCGUGCCAGCAGCCGCGGUAAUACGGAGGAUCCGAGCGUUAUCCGGAUUUAUUGGGUUUAAAGGGAGCGUAGGUGGAUUGUUAAGUCAGUUGUGAAAGUUUGCGGCUCAACCGUAAAAUUGCAGUUGAAACUGGCAGUCUUGAGUACAGUAGAGGUGGGCGGAAUUCGUGGUGUAGCGGUGAAAUGCUUAGAUAUCACGAAGAACUCCGAUUGCGAAGGCAGUUCACUGGACUGCAACUGACACUGAGGCUCGAAAGUGUGGGUAUCAAACAGGAUUAGAUACCCCAGUAGUC
Molecule: ribosomal RNA, 460 nt
Filed under: uncultured bacterium
Lineage: Bacteria
Description: partial 16S ribosomal RNA
Rfam family: Bacterial small subunit ribosomal RNA
Source: RNAcentral